Molecule: ribosomal RNA, 253 nt
Filed under: uncultured bacterium
Lineage: Bacteria
Description: partial 16S ribosomal RNA
Rfam family: Bacterial small subunit ribosomal RNA
Source: RNAcentral
UACGGGGGGGGCAAGCGUUGUUCGGAAUUACUGGGCGUAAAGGGCUCGUAGGUGGCCAACUAAGUCGGACGUGAAAUCCCUCAGCUUAACUGGGGAACUGCGUCCGAUACUGGAUGGCUUGAGUUUGGGAGAGGGAUGCGGAAUUCCAGGUGUAGCGGUGAAAUGCGUAGAUAUCUGGAGGAACGCCGGUGGCGAAGGCGGCAUCCUGGACCAACACUGACACUGAGGAGCGAAAGCCAGGGGAGCAAACGGG